CCUACGGGCGGCAGCAGUGAGGAAUAUUGGUCAAUGGCCGGAAGGCUGAACCAGCCAAGCCGCGUGAAGGACGAAGGUGCCACGCAUUGUAAACUUCUUUUGUCAAGGGACAAAAUCAGGCUCGAGAGCCUGACCGCGGGUACUUUAAGAAAAAGCAUCGGCUAACUCCGUGCCAGCAGCCGCGGUAAUACGGAGGAUGUGAGCGUUAUCCGGAUUUAUUGGGUUUAAAGGGUGCGUAGGCGGACUGUUAAGUCAGCGGUAAAAGCCCGGGGCUCAACCCCGGCGAGCCGUUGAAACUGGCGGUCGUGAGAUGGCGAGAGGUAGGCGGAAUGCGCAGUGUAGCGGUGAAAUGCUUAGAUAUUGCGCAGAACUCCGAUUGCGAAGGCAGCAUACCGGAGGCGAUCUGACGCUGAGGCACGAAAGCGUGGGUAUCGAACAGGAUUAGAUACCCCUGUAGUC
Molecule: ribosomal RNA, 459 nt
Filed under: uncultured bacterium
Lineage: Bacteria
Description: partial 16S ribosomal RNA
Rfam family: Bacterial small subunit ribosomal RNA
Source: RNAcentral